UACAAAAGUAGAGAUUUCCACCGACGCUGUAUAGAGAGAGCGUCUGGUCGGAUCAAACAACCAGCGACAACAACAACCACAAGAACAAACGCCACCGUAAACAAUUAAUUCCACCACACUCUCUUGGCGGUCGCUUUCCCGGGUCUACUUCCUUUCUCUCACCAAUUUUAAAUCCCCAAACACGGAUAUUUAUACAGAUAUUGAUUGGAGCACUGACAAAAUGACCACAUCAGGUGGCGGCGGUGGCGGGGGGCGCCUCAUGGCCUACUCCCCGUCUCCGUCUGCUCCUCAUCCUCCUCAUCUCUCUGGCCUCCGUUCCGCCUCCUCUGCUCUCGUCGAGCAAGAAAAGUAGCUCUCUCUUUCUCUCUCUCUCAGCUAUCG
RNAcentral lists this unclassified non-coding RNA (381 nucleotides) under Hevea brasiliensis (rubber tree). The record is from RNAcentral. Lineage: Eukaryota; Viridiplantae; Streptophyta; Magnoliopsida; Malpighiales; Euphorbiaceae.